UGCAGGACUUCGCAUGGCGUAUAUCUCGUGAACCCCCCCAGGGCAGGAAUGCAGCAAGGGUCAGCGGGCUCUGACGGGUGUGCGGAGUCCCCUUUUG
This 97-nucleotide signal recognition particle RNA is filed under the name Corynebacterium matruchotii. RNAcentral's name for it is "signal recognition particle sRNA small type". It matches the Rfam family "Bacterial small signal recognition particle RNA". From Rfam's summary of the family: The signal recognition particle (SRP) is a universally conserved ribonucleoprotein involved in the co-translational targeting of proteins to membranes. Archaeal SRP consists of a 7S RNA and homologues of the eukaryotic SRP19 and SRP54 proteins. In most bacteria, the SRP consists of a 4.5S RNA and the Ffh protein (a homologue of the eukaryotic SRP54 protein). Lineage: Bacteria; Bacillati; Actinomycetota; Actinomycetes; Mycobacteriales; Corynebacteriaceae. The record is from RNAcentral. RNAcentral also lists the same sequence under 1 other name.